This 231-nucleotide ribosomal RNA is filed under the name uncultured bacterium. RNAcentral describes it as "partial 16S ribosomal RNA". It matches the Rfam family "Bacterial small subunit ribosomal RNA", at positions 15 to 238 of the family's 1533-position model. The record is from RNAcentral.
GAUCCUGGCUCAGGACGAACGCUGGCGGCGUGCCUAAUACAUGCAAGUAGAACGCUGAAGGAGGAGCUUGCUCUUCUGGAUGAGUUGCGAACGGGUGAGUAACGCGUAGGUAACCUGCCUGGUAGCGGGGGAUAACUAUUGGAAACGAUAGCUAAUACCGCAUAACAUUGACUAUUGCAUGAUAGUCAAUUGAAAGGUGCAAAUGCACCACUACCAGAUGGACCUGCGUUG